Long non-coding RNA from Uranotaenia lowii, 1126 nucleotides. RefSeq lists it as uncharacterized. NCBI's taxonomy places the organism in Eukaryota, Metazoa, Arthropoda, Insecta, Diptera, Culicidae. The record is from RefSeq and is a predicted model, not a curated record. The transcript has 5 exons.
AUCAUCUCAGACAAAAUAUGUAUGAAUUUUCGGGCAUCUGAAUGUAAAGUGUCUUCGCUGCUACUGUGAUGUCACGUAAGAAAAAAAAACACGAGGCAAGAGAACCCGUACGGUUCCGAAAAAAACCCUUCGGAUAUGGCCAGAAACACCAUGGAUAGCCGUAUCAGAACCGGAAAAUGAGCGCAUCGGGGCCGACAACAACGCAAGCGAUGAAGACAGCUCGGAAAAAUAAAACAGAUGCAAUAAACUCCACCACCCGGCCGGACUAAAACCGAAGCAGCGCCAACCAUGGUGAACACAGGGCCGUAUGAAAGUGGAAGCCACUAUAAUCAGAGGGAAAUUUCCGAUUGUCAAGCCACCAUAUGGAGACUACAGUAUUUCUUCUAGGCGCUGAACGUUUAUGGAUUCAAGGUACAGUAAUCUGGAUUGGCAAAGCAAAUGCUGGUGACGGGUCUAGAAGAAAUUACUCUCGUUCGAACAGGUUUGAACAAAUUCCCAGCAGCAGCCGUCACUCCGGAAGAAACCACAACCAAACAAAAUGCGCAAAUUCUGGCUGGGUUUGUUUAUUUGUCUGGGAAGCUGCAAUGGUGCCGUGGUAGCAAUCAAAUUCUGGCUGGGAGGUUUCGCAAACCAAUGAGAAAUGACUGGAGGGUGGAACAGCAACGAUGGCAUGGCCCAGGAAACAGAAGACAGAGUUUACACCGAUAUGCGGGAAUGGCAACUAGGAGGAGCAAAACGCUUCCUUCGCUGAAGCAAUCGCUCCAUUCCCGUAUCUGUUAUUCCAACUCCUAGAAGCUGUGCCAAACCUGGGUCGAGCUGGAGGAAUCGGUUUGUAAACAUCGUCACCAGACAGAGUUGCUCCUUGCUCGAGUUGAAAGUUUCUAACAAUAGUGAUAGUGCCUGCUGUUACCAGUCGACCGAAUUGAAACAACAUUUAAAAAAAACAACGGUACGCUGCCUGCUGACCGAGCUGGAUCCACCAUGCCCUCAGUCGAGAACGACGACAUCAGCAGCAGCUCGCCGAAAAUGAAAAUUGUCCAAACCGCAACAGGCAGAACACCUCUUUCUCCAGCAUUUGUGUGGAGCCAUUCAUCAGUUAAGCUGCGUUUGUUAGGUCUGGGCGCAA